GUGAAGAGUUAAAAGUUUGUAUGUUAACUUAUUUAGUUGAUUUGAUCAUAUUCCCUGGAUCAAAGGAUUUAUGCAAAUGUGUGUGGCCAGUCUCAUGAAAAAAUUUAAACCUUGAAAAUUUCGCUGGUAAUAAUAUGUAUGAAGAUGACUAUAUUAAUUCCAGUAGAUCAUCUACAUGAUUUUAAUUCUUCUCAUCAUCUUCCAAGAAGAAAUAGAAAGAUCUGGUUUAUGUGCUGCGGAACCUGACUUAUUUUUGUUCAAGGAAAGAUACUCGAUUACAGAUACAUUUUUAAAUAUUCUGCAUACUUUUAGGACUUU
Molecule: long non-coding RNA, 318 nt
Filed under: Bos taurus (domestic cattle)
Lineage: Eukaryota; Metazoa; Chordata; Mammalia; Artiodactyla; Bovidae
Description: long non-coding RNA NONBTAT019690
Source: RNAcentral